RNAcentral lists this unclassified non-coding RNA (208 nucleotides) under Hevea brasiliensis (rubber tree). The record is from RNAcentral. Lineage: Eukaryota; Viridiplantae; Streptophyta; Magnoliopsida; Malpighiales; Euphorbiaceae.
UGUUUUUUUAAAAAAGAGGGUUAUGAGUAGAAUUAUUUUAAUUGUUAGUUUUUUAUUUGAGUAUUUAUUUUUUUAUUAGAAUUUUGUUUGUUAUGAAAUAUAUUUUUAUGUUUUAUAGUAGGUAAAAUUUUGAUAGAAAAAUAGAUGUUUAAGUAGAAAGUUAAUAAUUAGAAUAAUUUUGUUUAUGAUUUUUUUUUUUAAGAAAAUA